CGCGACCCCAGGUCAGGCGGGGCUACCCGCUGAGUUUAAGCAUAUCAAUAAGCGGAGGAAAAGAAACUAACGAGGAUUCCCCUAGUAACGGCGAGCGACGGGGGUAAAGUC
This 111-nucleotide ribosomal RNA is filed under the name Acacia subrigida. Its description in RNAcentral is "partial large subunit ribosomal RNA". It matches the Rfam family "Eukaryotic large subunit ribosomal RNA", at positions 1 to 109 of the family's 3401-position model. Lineage: Eukaryota; Viridiplantae; Streptophyta; Magnoliopsida; Fabales; Fabaceae. The record is from RNAcentral.